Molecule: ribosomal RNA, 493 nt
Filed under: uncultured bacterium
Lineage: Bacteria
Description: bacterial SSU rRNA
Rfam family: Bacterial small subunit ribosomal RNA
Source: RNAcentral
AAAGGAAUUGACGGGGACCCGCACAAGCAGUGGAGUAUGUGGUUUAAUUCGAAGCAACGCGAAGAACCUUACCAGGGCUUGACAUCCAGAGAACCCUGUAGAGAUACGGGGGUGCCUUCGGGAACUCUGAGACAGGUGGUGCAUGGUUGUCGUCAGCUCGUGUCGUGAGAUGUUGGGUUAAGUCCCGCAACGAGCGCAACCCUUAUCGUUAGUUGCUACCAGUAAGAUGAGCACUCUAGCGAGACUGCCGGUGACAAAUCGGAGGAAGGUGGGGACGACGUCAAAUCAUCAUGCCCCUUAUGUCCUGGGCUACACACGUACUACAAUGGCCGUUAACAAAGGGAAGCAAAGCCGCGAGGCGGAGCAAAUCCCCAAAAGCGGCCUCAGUUCAGAUCGCAGGCUGCAACUCGCCUGCGUGAAGUCGGAAUUGCUAGUAAUCGCGAAUCAGCAUGUCGCGGUGAAUACGUUCCCGGGUCUUGUACACACCGCCCGU